AGGCCCAUACAGAAUUUGGCCCAGGGAUUGUUCUUGUAUUGAUUUCAACAUGACCAAAAAAUAGAGAUGGUGCGUGGGCUAUAGGGAGGUGUAGCAUCCAAGUUCAUGAAAGGAGGCCCAAUUUCCAUGGAGAUUUUUGUUUUGAUCCAUAUUUUUGCAUCAGAUUUUUAUCCAAACACAUUGAUUAUCCAGACUUAUGCCAAUUAAUCAUGUCACUAUCUAUUUAAUUCAAACUAAAAACCAGAUUAAUUCACAAUUAAUAAAAGAAUUCACAAAGGUAUUAGGGUUACAUUUUGAUAGCUUUCACGUUCUCCUUCUUCCCUCCUCUGUGUGAACUCGACGGCGGUGUGGUGAGUCUCGGCUCCUCCGAUUCGAUUCUCCGGCCACCACAAACUGCGUCGCUUUCCUUCCAACCUAAAUCAUUCUAACUUCGAUUUCACCUUUCCGUUUUGCUCUCAAUCAGCAUCUCUCCCGAUUUCAUCUCAAAAUCAUGUUCAUCUUUCAAUCCACCUCUCUAAUUUCGUGUUCUUCUCUUCCUCUUCGCGUGGUUGCGUUUUGAAUAUGUUAUUUGCAGGUCCUUUGAUGUGAUGAUGGAGAUUUCAUUUCAGAAAUUGAGCGCGAUAAGUAGAGAAAGAUGAAUGUGUAAUGGUUGAAGGUUGUCGUGAUUGAUUAUGGUUGAAUAUGUGAAGAUUGAAGUUAUUGGAUGAAGGUUGCGAUUGUGAAGAGAUUCAAGGGGUUUCUUGAUUUUGAGUUUUUUUGUUUCGAUAUCUGAAGAUUGAAGGGAAUCGUGAGGAUUUUUGCAGAAUGAAGGAGAGAUCGAUUCUUGGUGAUUGAAGAAGAUUGGAGAAGAUGAAGAUUGUUGUGAUGCUCUAUGAGGAACGGAUUGAAGAGAGAAGGAUGAUGAAGAUGUUGAAGUCGCUGAAGAUUCAAGAAACGGUUAUGGUGAUGAUUUUCUGAGUUAUUCGUUUAUGAAUGAUUUUUGUGAAUUGAUGAAGAGGAUCAAUGAAGAUUUUUCUGUUAUGGUUUUCUUUGAUGAAGAAGAAUUUGUUAAAAAUUUUGGUUCUGAAUUUCUGAGUUUGGAUCGAGAGAGAAUUGAAGAAUUGAUGAUGAGGUGAUGAAGUUCUCCUUCUGGUGAUUGAAUUGAGGUGUAUUGAAGAUGAAUGAAACGAGAGAGAGUUUUGUAGGCCCGAUCUUGUAUGGUUUACCUGCAAUUUAUUGGAUUGAUUUCUUUUGCUCAGUGCACGUCCAGUUUAUUUUGAAGCUGCUCGGUUCUGUUUUAACAUAUGAACCGGUUCGGUUCUCUUCCUAUGCAAGCUGCGCUUUAUUCAUUCAUGAGUGCAGCCCGGUUCUUUUGUGCAAAAAUUAUGGAAUUGACUUUUAGAGCAUCUCCAAUGGUGUAACCCAUAUUUGGGUUCUUUAUGGGUCCCACUAGCCACAUCAUCUUAAAAUAAUUUUUAUAAUUUUUAUUUUAAUUGUAUAAUUCUAAAAAGUUAUUAUUGGGCCCACAACUUUACCUCAUAAACUAAUUUGAUUGGGUACUACAAUUUUUUCAUAGUUGCAUUGCAAUGCAAUGGUACUAUGAUGUGGCAUGUCUAGGUGGAGAACUCAAAAGAAAAUACCACCAUUGAAGAUGCUCUUAGUACACAGGAUGGCAUUCAGUACACAGGAUGGCCUUGGUUUGAAAAUGGAAGCAUCACAUUGGAUUGGAAUACUUGGAUUGUAUUUUUGUGUAAUUGUUGUAAUGGACUUGGACUCUUUUGUGUAUUUUGGAAUGAAUAUUUAGUAGUGAGGCCUUAACUUUGGAUGAACAAUGAUGUAUAGAUUUUUAAAGAAUGAAUAGAUUGUUUUUGAAUCCACACGAUAAAUUCCAACUA
Vicia villosa (hairy vetch) is the source of this 1874-nucleotide long non-coding RNA. RefSeq lists it as uncharacterized. Lineage: Eukaryota; Viridiplantae; Streptophyta; Magnoliopsida; Fabales; Fabaceae. The record is from RefSeq and is a predicted model, not a curated record. The transcript is spliced from 2 exons.